This 306-nucleotide unclassified non-coding RNA is filed under the name plant metagenome. RNAcentral's name for it is "partial contains 5.8S ribosomal RNA, internal transcribed spacer 2, and large subunit ribosomal RNA". The stretch from base 1 to 105 matches the Rfam family "5.8S ribosomal RNA", at positions 50 to 154 of the family's 154-position model. The record is from RNAcentral.
GAAAUGCGAUAAGUAAUGUGAAUUGCAGAAUUCAGUGAAUCAUCGAAUCUUUGAACGCACAUUGCGCCCGCCAGUAUUCUGGCGGGCAUGCCUGUCCGAGCGUCAUUUCAACCAUCAAGCCCCCGGGCUUGUGUUGGGGACCUGCGGCUGCCCGCAGGCCCUGAAAACCAGUGGCGGGCUCGCUGUCACACCGAGCGUAGUAGCAAUCACCUCGCUCAGGGCGUGCUGCGGGUUCCGGCCGUUAAACAGCCUUACAAAACCCAAGGUUGACCUCGGAUCAGGUAGGAAUACGCGCUGAAGAUAAGC